UGGACAUCCAUAAGGUUGCCCAGAUUGAAGUGGCACAUCGGUUUUUGCUGUGCCCAGUGGUGGGUUCAACUGGUAGGUAUAAACCAGCCAGAAGUGAUCCCUGCUGGGUAUUGUUUUAUUUUGCUCACAAUAAACUAGAGAACAUUAUGAUAUAUUAACUCUUCAAUAUUUAAAUACAUUUUUUAUCAAACUCAUGCAAACUAAUUGUAAGAAGUGUGUCUAGGAAUGACAAAUAAGUAAUAAAAAAGAAAUUUCAAGAUAGUCAAAUCACAAAAAAUGUUCUAAAUUUGUAGAAUAACCAAAUUCUAAAAUGUACCAAAUUGUUUCUAUUAAAAAAAUUAUUGUAUUAAAAAAUUUCUUGUAAAUACACUACAAAUAAUAUGUGAUAAUUAUGAAUUUGUUAACUAGGAAAUGUACUUUUUUUAAUUCAUAAAACACUAAAACAUAAAAGUACUAUAGAGGUUUAUUAUAUAGUAAAAUUUAGAUAACAAAAUAUGGCCUACAACGAGCGCAUUUGAGAUAAUUGUUACCUGGUUUUUAUAUAGUGUCAACUUAAGGAUGUCCUUAGGGUUGAUGAAGUGUUCCGGUGAAAGGCCUUUAGUAGUAUGUAUGUAAAACUAUAAAGUUAAAAUGAAAUGAAAAAAUAAAAUUUAUAACUAUCAAAUAUAUUGCUCAGAAAUUUCACACGAAAUUUUGAUUAACUUAGUAUCACCAAAUAACACUUUUGAAAUUACUAGCAGGAGAAAAGAAAGUCUAAUCUGGAUCUUCUUGCCCUUUAUAUGUUUCUUUCACAUUCUAAAGACCCUAUAAUUGGGCUCCAAUCUGAAAUGUUCUUUUUGCAACCCACAGUUACAUCUCGGACACUAUUUGAAGCCAUCUUGCAGCGCACAAUACAGAGCUUCUUUGACUUGUUCGAAAUAAGUGUGAUGUUGUGCCGAGACACCACAAAUUGUGUGAAGUUCGAGAGGUAGUUGUGGUUGGUUCUGUUUCACCAACCAAACACCAUAUUAUUUGACCAGUUAACUUACCCCUUGUUGCAUAGCUGCUUACAUUGGUGUGUUACACACAGAUAUCAAACAAGUUUAAUAUUUUUUUCAAUAUGUCUUGGUUGGUCUAGUGGAGGGCAGGUGGUAGAGAGACAUAUUCCUUUUAACUCCUUCCCCACAAAUCUCUUGUACUUGUUCAAGAUCAUGGGAGUUUAGAACAUUUUUCUGUGCAGCUUCGAAUACCACGGACAUUAGGUACACGAAUUUCCUACUAAGUUUCUCUUUGAAACCAAGUACAAAGACCUUUUCUCGCCUUGUCUAUGGUAAACAAACAGGCUAUAUGACAUCAAACAUUGGAUCAGUCAGCGUUUAUCACAGGUUUUUUGAGUUUUAAUUUAUAAUGCUUUUCAAAAAGAUCUUUAGGAAUGUACUGCUCAGUACUGUGAAUAAUUUUACUCGUAGUUUGUGAUAUGAUGGGAAAGAGUAAGUUUUUGACUUGACAAUACAGAGCUUCUUUGACUUGUUCGAAAUAAGUGUGAUGUUGUGCCGAGACACCACACUUACCACUAUUGCUCAAUGAUCUUUGCUGAAUAAUAUUUGUCUUUCAAGCGAUGAUACUGAGAAACUCGGACAGAAACAGUUUGAAGUACUCAUUUGGUUUCUGCUCGUUAGGACAAUCUCAAGGAUUUCUGACUGUAAACUCCACAUUCAGAUCCAGCUCGGGAAUACCCACAUUGAAUUGAACACCCACUCUGAGGGGCUGAUACCAUGUUAUAGUCCUCCUCACUAGCCAAGUCUUACAUGCCUCAUUGAUAUGCCUGAAGGCUAUCUCUUGGAAUUCAAUGAUCUAAGCACCUUGGUUCAGGAGGAAGGCACAGAGAUAAAUAACUGUCAUUAUCAAUGUUUAGAAUAAUAUUUAACAUUACUACAUGAUGAAAAGAUGGCCUCUACUCCACUAUUCUAUUCCAUGUCACUGAUGUCCAAGUCAGCUAAUAUUCUCUCGAGUCAUCUGACUUGUCAAAAAUAUUUGUGACUUGGUAGUAGCUGUUACAGAUUUAUGAUAUUAUCUUUAAUUUGUUAUAGUCAUAAAAUAUGAUUAUGAACAUCUAACUGCCUAAUGAAAGUAAUAUUAGAUGUAGAUUUCACUAGACUAUGCCAUUAUUAACAAAUCACUUUACUAUAAUGUGCAAUAUAUUAGUAGAACCACAUGUACCAUAACACACUCUUGUCCACUCAUUAUAACCUAAUUAAUAAAGAUAGAUCAGUAAACACAAUAUGUUUACCUCAAAAUAAUAACUAAUGCACAUAAACAACAACAAGUACUGUUAAUACAAUGUUGAGAUAUUUAUAAUGAACAACUCUUCAUCACUGUUUUUCAGUGUUUGUCACGUACAUCACAAUUUACCUAGAGGAAUAAUUGAAAACAUCACAUUAUUCAGCAUUUGAUAAUGUUAAAAAUCCUUUCAGUUGUUAAUUCUGUUGGUAGAGGAGACAGGCAAUUUCCCUAAGGUGGUUGUAUCCCAGAAACUUUCUUUGUUUCUUCUUCAAUCUGUGCUAGUUUGCUGCUUUGUAUAUUUGAUCGAAAUCAAAUUUUCCCCUUGGUGUUGAAAUGAAUUCCUCAUUGGUGAAUGAAAUGUCUUUUGGUUUUGUUCGCUUCUACUAUUUAAGUUCAAAUACUUUCCACUAAAUUUCUUGAGAUGAGAAAAAUGAUUUGUUAUUGCCAUUUUGCCUUGGUACUUCUUGAAUAUGGCGUUAUUAUAUUUUGGUUUGUUAUAAUCAUUUCAUCUACAUUUUUAAGUUAAGUUAAUUUUCUUUCAAACAUGUUAAAAUAUUCUAAUUGAAACUAUUUAAAGCUUUAAGAAUUAAAUUUUAAAUUAUCAAUAUUUGUCUUAAAAGUUUAUUGCCAAUUAAAAUAAGUGCUCUUAUGUGGAUAAUAUUGUUAAUGUAUUGUAAAUAUUAAUAUCAUUUGUUGAUUAAUGUAAAUUAUAGUUAGAGCUAGUUUAAAUAUAUAUGUAUUUUUUGUUGUAAGUAGUUGUUUUUCAACAGUAUUUUCAAUGUUAAUGGUUAUACAACUCAAUGAGCAGAAUGGUUUAUAAAUUAUUGCUUUGCUACAUACAUAUUUAUUAUUAUUGUAAAUAUAUUAGAGAACAGAUUUUUAUCAAAAAAUGUUAGUAUAUGUUAGCUUUGUGAAUUAUAUAAGUUGAAUGAAUAAAUUUGUAUAAAUAUAA
Homalodisca vitripennis (glassy-winged sharpshooter) is the source of this 3214-nucleotide long non-coding RNA. RefSeq lists it as uncharacterized. The record is from RefSeq and is a predicted model, not a curated record. Lineage: Eukaryota; Metazoa; Arthropoda; Insecta; Hemiptera; Cicadellidae. The transcript is spliced from 2 exons.